This is a long non-coding RNA of Glycine soja, 1175 nucleotides long. RefSeq lists it as uncharacterized. The record is from RefSeq and is a predicted model, not a curated record. The transcript is spliced from 3 exons. NCBI's taxonomy places the organism in Eukaryota, Viridiplantae, Streptophyta, Magnoliopsida, Fabales, Fabaceae.
GAGCCAUUUUUGUACUAGAUCGUUUUAUUUUGCUGUUGCGUCGUCACACUUGGCAACAAGUUAACCUGAAUAGAACACAUUCGUCUUGUUUCAAAACGGUGCGCUUUUGAAAGAAUCGUUGUUCUUCUCUCUUUCUCCUCUUCAGUGAAAAAGUGGAUUCAUUUGAUCAUUUAAAGGGUUGCAAUACCCUAGAUCAAAUGAUGGAGACUGGAGACAUUAAUCAGCCUGAACCACUGAAACAGGUGUGGUGUGAGAAAAAACAGGCUGCCGUUCAUGAAGAAAUGAAUAGAAUGAACCAACUGCCUGCAAACAGUGCAUAUGCUACACAUCGUAUGAAGGUUCUAAAUAAAAUUUUGCAACUCAUGUCAGUUCAGAGAACUGUAUCACAAGAGCAGGAAUUGGAGUUGCUUUUUGCUGGCCUUUCUUUGUGAAAGUAUUAUUACUGGCGAUGGUAUGUUGUGGGGAAUCAAUAGUAGGUUUAUAACUAUUUGCAAUGUGGUUUGUGAUUGUGCAUAUGAGCUCUACAUGCAUGUUAUUUUGGCUUUAAAUAUUGCUCCUGACUGUCAUAAUUGCAGUUGUCUUUUCAUCAAUUUAAUUUGGGUAUUUUUAAGUUUUAAAACCAGCUGAUCCUGGCGUCUGUAAUUUUUCUCUCUUGCCCCUGACAAUAGUGGAUCUGCAUCUUGAAGUCCAAAAGAUAAAGAACAAGGCUUGUUUACAGUAUGUAUGUAUUGGCAUUUUAGCCAUGCAAUAUUGGUCAGAGUCAGUUAGGGUUUUACUCAUAACUUGACUGAGCUUAAGCAGCAAUGUCUAUACUCUUCUUUAGCUACUUUUGAUAUCAUAGUAAUGCAUCAUAUUGCAAGUUGAAACCUUGCUGCCUCUGUCCAACUUUCCUUCGUUUCAUUCAUGGAUCUUGCCGGAGGAACUUUCUUUCAUAAUCCGGUCAUGGAUCAUAUAUGUUGGUUUUGACACACUCUGUAACGGCUCUGGAAAUGACCUGGAAAAAAAAUACAGAACCAGAAAGCACAAUAUAUUGUCAAUGUCUUUGGAUUUCUUACUAGAACAAAAUUAUGGGGGAUACAGGCAUACAGGUAUUAAAUAUUCUCAUUAUUUCUGUAAAAUUGUUGAAUGAACACAACACAUUAGUUUCUUUGGGUACAGACAACGCAUUUGUUUGA